RNAcentral lists this ribosomal RNA (1476 nucleotides) under Candidatus Uhrbacteria bacterium CG10_big_fil_rev_8_21_14_0_10_50_16. RNAcentral's name for it is "bacterial SSU rRNA". It matches the Rfam family "Bacterial small subunit ribosomal RNA". Lineage: Bacteria; Candidatus Uhriibacteriota. The record is from RNAcentral.
GAGAGUUUGAUCCUGGCUCAGGAUGAACGCUGGCGGCGUGUCUAAGGCAUGCAAGUCGAACGAACUACUUCGGUAGUGAGUGGCAAACGGGUGAGUAACGCACUGGUAACCUACCUCGAAGUCGAGAACAACCAUUAGAAAUGAUGGCUAAUACUCGAUGGUCAUAGAGAGUCUACGGAUUUCCCUAUGUAAAACUCAGGUGCUUCGAGAGGGGCCUAUGUUAGAUUAGCUAGUUGGUAGGGUAAUGGCCUACCAAGGCUCCGAUCUAUAGCGGGUGUGAGAGCAUGACCCGCCACACUGGGACUGAGACACUGCCCAGACUCCUACGGGAGGCUGCAGUCGAGAAUCUUCCACAAUGCGCGAAAGCGUGAUGGAGCGACGCCGCGUGCCAGAUGAAGCCCUUUGGGGUGUAAAUGGCUUUUCUAGGGGACGAAUUCGUGACGGUACCUUAGGAAUAAGAGGGUGCUAACUCUGUGCCAGCAGCAGCGGUAAUACAGAGCCCUCGAGCGUUAUCCGGAGUAAUUGGGCGUAAAGCGUCCGCAGUCGGUUAUGCGCGUCACACGUCAAAUCUUGGUGCUCAACAUCAAGGCCGCGUGUGAUACGGCACAACUAGAGGUUGGGAGAGGUAAGCGGAAUUGCUGGUGUAGCGGUAAAAUGCGUUAAUAUCAGCAAGAACACCAAAUGCGAAGGCAGCUUACUGGAACACACCUGACGAUCAGGGACGAAAGCGUGGGUAGCGAAUGGGAUUAGAUACCCCAGUAGUCCACGCCGUAAACGAUGGAUGCUAGGUAUUGGAAGUAUCGACCCUUCCAGUGCCGUUGAACCAAGCUAACGCGUUAAGCAUCCCGCCUGGGGAGUACGGUCGCAAGACUAAAACUCAAAGGAAUAGACGGGGACCCGCACAAGCAGUGGAUCAUGUGGUUUAAUUCGACGAUAAGCGAUAACCUUACCUAGGUUUGACAUAUAGCUGCAAGCUCUGGAAACAGAGUCGCCUUCGAGGGUGCUAUACAGGUGUUGCAUGGUUGCCGUCAGCUCGUGCCGUGAGGUGUACCCUUAAGUGGGGUAACGAGCGCAACCCUCGUUCUGUGUUAUAUUUUUCACAGAAGACUGCCUACGCAAGUAGGAGGAAGGUGAGGACGACGUCAAAUCAGCAUGACCCUUACACCUAGGGCUACACACAUGAUACAAUGGUAGGGACAAUGGGUAGCCAAGCCGCAAGGCGGAGCCAAUCCUUAAACCCUAUCUCAGUUCGGAUCGAGGGCUGCAACUCGCCCUCGUGAAGUCGGAAUUGCUAGUAAUCGUGGAUCAGCGCGCCACGGUGAAUACGUUCUCGGGUCUUGUACUCACCGCCCGUCAUACCACGGGAAUUGGUAAUACCCGAACGUCGCUUUUGGCGGCGGAAGGUAGGACCAGUGACUGGGGUAAAGUCGUAACAAGGCAUCCGUAGCGGAAGCUGUGGAUGGAUCACCUCCUUUC